RNAcentral lists this ribosomal RNA (370 nucleotides) under uncultured bacterium. RNAcentral's name for it is "bacterial SSU rRNA". It matches the Rfam family "Bacterial small subunit ribosomal RNA", at positions 128 to 512 of the family's 1533-position model. The record is from RNAcentral.
GCCCUUCACUCUGGGAUAACCUCCGGAAACGGAAGCUAAUACCGGAUAUGACGCACGGAGGCAUCUCCUGUGCGUGGAAAGAACUUCGGUGGAGGAUGAGCUCGCGGCCUAUCAGGUAGUUGGUGAGGUAACGGCCCACCAAGCCUACGACGGGUAGCCGGCCUGAGAGGGUGACCGGCCACACUGGGACUGAGACACGGCCCAGACUCCUACGGGAGGCAGCAGUGGGGAAUAUUGCACAAUGGGCGCAAGCCUGAUGCAGCAACGCCGCGUGAGGGACGACGGCCUUCGGGUUGUAAACCUCUUUUAGUAGGGAAGAAGCGAAAGUGACGGUACCUGCAGAAAAAGCACCGGCUAACUACGUGCCAGC